GCCCGAGUGGCGGAAUUGGUAUACGCGUUCGACUUAAGAUCGAAUGUCGCAAGGCAUGUGGGUUCGAGUCCCACCUCGGGCA
This 82-nucleotide transfer RNA is filed under the name Minisyncoccota bacterium. RNAcentral's name for it is "tRNA-Leu". It matches the Rfam family "tRNA". Rfam says of the family: Transfer RNA (tRNA) molecules are approximately 80 nucleotides in length. The record is from RNAcentral. Lineage: Bacteria; Bacillati; Minisyncoccota. RNAcentral also lists the same sequence under 1 other name.